RNAcentral lists this ribosomal RNA (503 nucleotides) under uncultured bacterium. RNAcentral describes it as "bacterial SSU rRNA". It matches the Rfam family "Bacterial small subunit ribosomal RNA", at positions 29 to 507 of the family's 1533-position model. The record is from RNAcentral.
AACGAACGCUGGCGGCGUGCCUAACACAUGCAAGUCGAACGUGAUUAGAGGGCUUGCUCUCUAUGAAAGUGGCGCACGGGUGAGUAACGCGUAGAUAAUCUACCUGAUGGAUCGGGAUAACACUUCGAAAGGGGUGCUAAUACCGGAUAAGCCCACGGAGUCCUUGGACACUGCGGGAAAAGGGGGGGACCUUUAUCGGCCUUCCGUCAUCAGAUGAGUCUGCGUACCAUUAGCUAGUUGGUAGGGUAAAGGCCUACCAAGGCGACGAUGGUUAGCUGGUCUGAGAGGAUGAUCAGCCACACUGGAACUGAGACACGGUCCAGACUCCUACGGGAGGCAGCAGUGGGGAAUUUUGCGCAAUGGGGGAAACCCUGACGCAGCAACGCCGCGUGAGUGAUGAAGGCCCUUGGGUCGUAAAGCUCUGACAGAGGGAAAGAAAUGCAGAGUGGCUAAAACCGCACUGCUUGACGGUACCCUCAAAGGAAGCACCGGCUAACUCCGUG